AUAUAUAUAUGGUUUACAGAGGGGCUACAAAUCAGGAACAUUUAUGAUCAGGCGAUUUAAGAUGGGGAGAUGAAGAGUUCACCGGUGAAAAAUAGAUUACGAACAGACACACAGCGCAACUCUGUAACUCAGACUUGUUUGAGACAAUGAUGGAAAAAACUCAAAUUCAUGUUAAACGAAAACAGUUUACAAUAUGAGAAAACUAUAAUUGUUGCAAGCUUGAGUUUUUUUUCAUAUAACGUGAUGAAUCCCAUUUAAAAAUGAAACCCAUAAUACACUUGUAGGCCCGACCUUCAUAGAAAGCCGAAAAAGCAAGGGCUUCCGACCUUCAUAAAUAUAUAUUAGGUUCGGUCAUCAAUUUGCAAAGUAUCAUUUAGCUUAGUGGUAUAAAUGUUAGUGUUUAAAUCCCAAUAACCUGGGUUCGAGCCAUGGACUUGACACUUUUUAAAAGUGGGACCCACAAAAUGCUGACGUGACGCGCUGAGGAGUGAGCAAAAAAUCAUCUAUUAUAAUAUAGAUUUAUAAAAAAAUUCUUUUUUAUAAUUUUAUUUUUAAUAAAUAUUUUUUUUUAAUUAGAAUUUUUUAAUAGAGCGAGUAUAAAAUAUGUUUCAUAGAUGUUAAAUGUGACUUUAGAUGUAAUUUUACUAAAUCUCAUCAAAAUAUAUUAAACUAGGAUCGCCUGCCCUACGGGCGGGGUUUACUUUACUUGUAAACUCGAAUUUUAUUUUUUUUGUAUGAUUUGGUGGGUUGUGUUUUAGGUUUAUAUUUACAAGAAAUGUGUAUAAUAGUGUUUAUUGUCUAGUAGGAAAUUUUAAGUGAUGAAUGACAUUAUAUCUAUUUACGUAACGUUUGAUGUUUGCUUAUUUUUGUCACUUGUUUUUGUUUUUUGUACUAUUUGUUGUCAAAUAUGUUUUUUGACAUUAUAUUAUUGUUAGUUAUAUUUUUUUUGUUAUGUUAUAUAAUGAGAACACAUUUUAUAUCAUCUUUGCAUAUGUCUAACUAAAAUUAUUUAUUUUUAUUAUUAUUAUUAGAGAUUAUAAGGUUUUAUUAGCAUGAUAUCAUUUUCAUGAUUGAAAUGAUAUACUAAAAUUAUUUAUGUCCGACGUGGCGCAAGCAGGAAAUAAUUAUUAUUUUAUUUUAUUUUUUGUUAUGUCUUAUAAUGAGAAAACAUUUUAUAUCAUCUUUGCAUAUGUCUAACUAAAAUUAUUUAUUAUUUAGUAUUAUUGUUAGAGGUUAUAAGGUUGUAUAAAUGAUAUGAUUUUCAUGUUUGAAAUGGUAUACAUUUGUUAAAUGUUUGCUCAAAUUUUCUAUAUAGAGUAAGUAUAUUCGAGUUUUUAUUGUUGUGGUUGGGUUUAGUACUCAAGACAUCGAUUAUUUAACAUUUUGUAUAUAUUGAAUGUACUUGUAUUUUUAAUAAAAUUUUAUUAUUCAGUUUUAGUGUAUAAUUAGUUGCUGUUUUACUUAUUCUAUUACCUCUUAUAUUGUUUUCAUUUGCUAUACCGAGUAAUACAUUAUUUUAAUUUUAAAUUUACUAUAAAUUUAUUAUGGGACAGAAAAAACAUAAUAUAAUAUAUGCAUUAGUUAAAAAAUUACUUGAAAUUCUUCGCUUGUUAAUGUGUUUUGAUGCUGAAAGAGAGCGAGAAUGAUUUCUUUCUUGAAGGGUAAGGCUAAUGAAAAAUAAAAUUUCCUUCUAUCUACUUCAUGCGUCUUUUAAUAUGUCAGCCUCCCCGCCCAUUUAAGUCGGAUGGACUCGACCCGGAUGAUUCAAGUCGGGUGUUUUUCACCGCUCGCUACAGAAACCUAAACGCAACAUUUCAAUAGCACUAUUGAUUUUUUUUUAGGGAAGAAUGGAAGAGAAGAGAAGAACAGAAGCAGCACCCUUGGGUCCCUCUCUCUCUAAUCAUCGUCUCUAUUUUCUCUUCGCUCGUGCAUCUCAAUCAGUUGGUAUACUUGGUUCCGUGUAGAAAAGUGUUUGUGAUAGAUAACAUCGAAGAAAAAAAGGUUUUCGGAGUUCAAGCGUAAGAUUUGAUUGAAUGGUUAUGCUCACUGAAAUCGCCACCCUUGAGGAGAAGUAUGUUUUGAUUUUUUUUUCUCACCUUUUUAUGCUUGUGUCUAAUCUUUUGAAUUAAGACAGAAAAAAGUUGAGAUGUGAUAUUGUCUGAAACCUGACAUGGAAGUCGAUGAGCUCUUCCUUUUUCUCUUAUUUUGAUUUGGAUGAACGAAAUUAUAUACUCUUUUUGCAAUGAAUUUAGACUGCGCUUUGAUUCAGUGUUUUAAUUUGGUGUUCUUUGUCUGAAUAUCUGUCUUGUUCGCUGAUUAAGGAUCAGUUUUGAUUCUGUUAUAUAUUUUUUUGCUCUAAGGAAUUAAAAAAGUAACGUUUUUUUCAAGUCUUCUUCUUUUACUUGGGGGUGAACAUAUCUGCUUCAGGGUGCUUUCUGGAUCAGAUUAAUUUUUUGAAUUCUGGUAAUUUGGUUUAGUCUUGGAUCAUAGAUCUCUUGAUUGAAGUUAAGUAGGAUUCUUAAUAAGCUACAAUGUGUUUAUCUUUGGUUUUAGGUAUAUCGAAUUGUGUAAGAAGCAUGGAACCGUACCCAACACUUCCAUUUUAUCUGCCUUCUUUGAGGCGGAGGAUAAAAAGUCAAGGAAUUAAAGAUGCACCAUGAACCUUUUAGUUGACAGAGUGAUGUACGAUGACUUUCACCCGCUACUUGAGUUAUGCAAUGAGAUCAACGCAUCUGAGGUAGAAGGAAUAGAUCUCUCUGUGAGAUCCUCUUGUUCUCUGGAAGAUCAGUACGUAUUGUCCUUGAUACGUUCUGUCAAUCAAAAACUUCAUCUUGUUGAUGUACACGAUUGUUUUGGGAAAACCUUAUGGCGGGAUGUCUUCUCUCAAGGCUUGAGCUGCGAAGUUUUGAAUGUGAGGUCUUUGCAUUUCCGUAAGCUUAACAUCGUUGGAGAGUUCGCAUAGCUGCACACCCUUAUACUCGAUUCCAACCGUGUGACUGGUUUUGGUGAACGCUUUUUUUCUUGCAUGCCGAACUUGACUUGUCUUUCGAUGUGCAACACUGUUGUCUCUGAUCUUUGGACAGCAAGCGCUGCUCUCUUGAAA
Brassica napus (rape) is the source of this 3103-nucleotide long non-coding RNA. RefSeq lists it as uncharacterized. The record is from RefSeq and is a predicted model, not a curated record. The transcript is spliced from 3 exons. Lineage: Eukaryota; Viridiplantae; Streptophyta; Magnoliopsida; Brassicales; Brassicaceae.